AUUGAACGCUGGCGGCAGGCUUAACACAUGCAAGUCGAGCGGAGUGAUGGUGCUUGCACUAUCACUUAGCGGCGGACGGGUGAGUAAUGCUUAGGAAUCUGCCUAUUAGUGGGGGACAACAUCGCGAAAGGGAUGCUAAUACCGCAUACGUCCUACGGGAGAAAGCAGGGGAUCACUUGUGACCUUGCGCUAAUAGAUGAGCCUAAGUCGGAUUAGCUAGUUGGUGGGGUAAAGGCCUACCAAGGCGACGAUCUGUAGCGGGUCUGAGAGGAUGAUCCGCCACACUGGGACUGAGACACGGCCCAGACUCCUACGGGAGGCAGCAGUGGGGAAUAUUGGACAAUGGGGGGAACCCUGAUCCAGCCAUGCCGCGUGUGUGAAGAAGGCCUUAUGGUUGUAAAGCACUUUAAGCGAGGAGGAGGCUCUUUUGGUUAAUACCCAAGAUGAGUGGACGUUACUCGCAGAAUAAGCAUCGGCUAACUCUGUGCCAGCCGCCGCGGUAA
This 503-nucleotide ribosomal RNA is filed under the name uncultured bacterium. RNAcentral's name for it is "partial 16S ribosomal RNA". It matches the Rfam family "Bacterial small subunit ribosomal RNA", at positions 30 to 523 of the family's 1533-position model. The record is from RNAcentral.